UGCAAGACGGUUGCUGAGCUUGUCGAAGCAUGAAUCUUGCGUCGUUCUUAGUUAAAAUCACUUAUGGUUCGACAAGUUCACCGAUCGUGAUUUCAGGUUGAGGGACUAAAAAACGCCGUCAAUUCUGACCGCACUUUUCACAUAAAUAAAAAGCCGAAUAACAUAUUCGGCUUUUCGUU
RNAcentral lists this non-coding RNA (179 nucleotides) under Aggregatibacter actinomycetemcomitans D11S-1. Its description in RNAcentral is "Aggregatibacter sRNA 41". It matches the Rfam family "Aggregatibacter sRNA 41". From Rfam's summary of the family: Validated by RT-PCR, expression up-regulated during growth. The record is from Rfam by way of RNAcentral. Lineage: Bacteria; Pseudomonadati; Pseudomonadota; Gammaproteobacteria; Pasteurellales; Pasteurellaceae.